Long non-coding RNA from Hyla sarda, 545 nucleotides. RefSeq lists it as uncharacterized. The record is from RefSeq and is a predicted model, not a curated record. NCBI's taxonomy places the organism in Eukaryota, Metazoa, Chordata, Amphibia, Anura, Hylidae. The transcript is spliced from 3 exons.
CUUCUCCUCAGGAAAGGUUUCAAGAAAUCUCCCCCCAUUGUUACCAUACAACAAAAACUUUAUUUGUGCUCUCUGCUGACACCUGAUGCCUGUAUCAGGAACUGUCCAGAACAGGAGAGAAUCCCCAUAGCAAACCUAUGCUGCUCUGGACAGUUCCUGACACGUCUUAAAGCUGCUGAAGAAAAAAGUCCUAUGGAGGACUAGAAACGCGUCCAGCUCCGCUACUAACGCCACAUAUAUCCAGCCUCUAUAUUGGAAUACAGGGAUUGCGCUUAUACGGCAUCCGCUAAGCCUCAGGGAAGGACUCAACCCAUAACGGAGAAGAGUCUGAGGAUGCAAAUGUAUCAGGCCAACCGUAGAAAUCAUAUACAGUAUGAAUUCUUUAAGGCUAUGUUCACACACUGUAAAACAAGCUGCAAAAUUAAAGUCUAUGAAAAUGCGUCUGUCAACGGAAACAUUGAAUAUAAAAUCAUCCACGAUUCCUUGCAGGACAUUAAAAUAAUCAGUUUGUUCAUUAUCUUUGGCCGUAAGAUAAAUGUCCAAAA